AGUAAUAGGCAUUUGUGAGUGACACGGACAGUCUUUGGAAGGAAAUUGCCACUGUGGUACUUUCUAUUUCAUUUUCAAGACCUCUUCCCAGCAUUCUUCCACCAAAUUUGCAGCAUAGAAUUUAUCUUUCUUACCACAUUGUGGAGACAGCAGAAACUGAGCAGAGGAGAAUUUCUGAAGCAGCAGAAUUUGAGAGCCAAGAAUAAAUUGGGGACUGACUCUUCUUUCUAGGCUAAUCAUGUGGGACAGAAACAACAGGUCAGAGAGGAGUUAAAUGGCAAGGACUGUGAGAAAGAAGAUGAGUGAAGAGGUGAAAGAAGGGAAGCGAGAGCACCCACAUGAGAUGUGUGGGGCCACACCCUUCUGUGCGGUGCUAGCAACCAGGCUCUAUCUCUCCAAACCUGGCUGCAGAGUGAAACUCAGACUUCCCAGUCAUCACGUCCCUGAUGCUUCUGCGGACAAUCCUGCAGGACCUUUUGAUUCUGAGAGUCUGCUGAUUGCUGUCAGAAACUGAAGCAAAAGUGGCAGGUGUCAAAUGUAGGACACUGCAGUUUGCAGAAUCUUAUACCUUUCUCUCUGGCAUGGUCUCCUGCAUGUAUUUUAUGACUCUUUUCUGAAAGGCACAAUGGAAGCCACAUGGAACUUGAUUUCUCCAUCAAUUCCUGAGUGGGGCUCAGCAACUCAAACCCCUUGGACUGACCUUCCCCUCUCUUUAAGGAUGGGCCAGUCUCUUCCUAUUUUACGUUAUAAAACACAAAAAGUAGAGAAAUUUUCAAAAUAUAAUAAACACUUGUGUUUCUACAACUGAAAUUGAACAGAUAUUAAUAUGUUGCCAUAUCUGCUUCAGAUCUCUAUUUUUUAAAAUAAAUCAUUUCAGAUACAGAUAAUGCCCUAUGUACAUUCUUCUCCCAUCUCUCCACUCUGUAGGAAUCUACUAACUUGGAGUUUGUGUAAUGUCCAAUUGUGUUUUGUGUUUUACUAUUUAUGUGUGUCUGUAAAUAAUACCCUAUUACAAAUAAUUUUUUCACUCAACUUUUUUCUUAUGGGAUUUUUCCAUCUUGAUAUAUGUGGGUCUAGUCUAUUCACUGUAAUUAUUGUAUAGUAUUUCACUGUAUGAAUAAAUCACAGUUUGUUAGUUCUCUGAUAAGGGACAGUUUAUUUCCAUUUAUUCACUAUUACAAGCAAUGCUAUCAAGAGAAUAUUUGAAUUUGUUUUCUUGUGCAUAUUUUCUAGACAUGGCAAUGCCUAAUGUGUCCACGAGAUAGAGGUUAGAAAGGAUAUUGCCAUAGUUUAUGUAUGGUAAGGGUGUAUUUAACUUCUUAAGAAACUGCCAAACUAUUUCUCAAGGUGUUUGUGCCAUUUUUUUUAUGUCUACCAACAGUGUAUGAGAGUUCCUGUAGCUUCAAUUCCUUACCAACAUUUGGUAAUGUGUCUUUUUAAUUUUAAUCAUUCUAGUAGGUAUAAUAAAGGUAUCUCACAGUGUGGCUUUAAUUUACUUUUCCCUUAUGACUAAUGAUGUUCAGCUUCUUUUCUUGGUGUAUAUUAUUUGUGAAAUAUCUUAAAUGUUUACCAACAUUUCAUUGGAUUACUUUCUUCUUAUUAAGCUGGAAUAAGUUCUGUACAUACUCUGGUAUAAAAUUCCUUGUAAAAUACAUGUAUUGAG
Long non-coding RNA from Aotus nancymaae (Ma's night monkey), 1663 nucleotides. The record is from Ensembl. Lineage: Eukaryota; Metazoa; Chordata; Mammalia; Primates; Aotidae.